CUUCCCAUUCCGAACAGAGAAGUUAAGCCCGGUCACGCCGAUGGUACUGCGUAACAGUGGGAGAGUAGGUCGCCGCCGUUU
RNAcentral lists this ribosomal RNA (81 nucleotides) under Candidatus Bacteroides merdavium. The record is from RNAcentral. Lineage: Bacteria; Pseudomonadati; Bacteroidota; Bacteroidia; Bacteroidales; Bacteroidaceae.